GCAGUAGAGGAAAGUGGAACUCCAUGUGUAGCGGUGAAAUGCGUAGAUAUAUGGAAGAACACCAGUGGCGAAGGCGGCUUUCUGGACUGUAACUGACGUUGAGGCUCGAAAGUGUGGGUAGCAAACAGGAUUAGAUACCCUGGUAGUCCACACCGUAAACGAUGAGUGCUAGGUGUUUGAGGGUUUCCGCCCUUAAGUGCCGCAGCUAACGCAUUAAGCACUCCGCCUGGGGAGUACGACCGCAAGGUUGAAACUCAAAGGAAUUGACGGGGACCCGCACAAGCGGUGGGGCAUGUGGUUUAAUUCGAAGCAACGCGAAGAACCUUACCAGGUCUUGACAUCCCUUGACAACUCCAGAGAUGGAGCGUUCCCUUCGGGGACAAGGUGACAGGUGGUGCAUGGUUGUCGUCAGCUCGUGUCGUGAGAUGUUGGGUUAAGUCCCGCAACGAGCGCAACCCUUAUUACUAGUUGCCAGCAUUUAGUUGGGCACUCUAGUGGGACUGCCGGUGACAAACCGGAGGAAGGUGGGGAUGACGUCAAAUCAUCAUGCCCCUUAUGACCUGGGCUACACACGUGCUACAAUGGCGUAUACAACGAGUUGCCAACCCGCGAGGGUGAGCUAAUCUCUUAAAGUACGUCUCAGUUCGGAUUGUAGGCUGCAACUCGCCUACAUGAAGUCGGAAUCGCUAGUAAUCGCGGAUCAGCACGCCGCGGUGAAUACGUUCCCGGGUCUUGUACACACCGCCCGUCACACCAUGAGAGUUUGUAACACCCAAAGCCGGUGGGGUAACCUUCGGGAGCCAGCCGUCUAAGGUGGGACAGAUGAUUAGGGUGAAGUCGUAACAAGGUAGCCGUA
RNAcentral lists this ribosomal RNA (856 nucleotides) under uncultured bacterium. RNAcentral's name for it is "bacterial SSU rRNA". It matches the Rfam family "Bacterial small subunit ribosomal RNA", at positions 648 to 1504 of the family's 1533-position model. The record is from RNAcentral.